GGGGCUGAUUCUGGAUUCGACAAGAUUCACGAAACCCAAGGUGCAUGCCGAGGUGCGGUAGGCCUCGUUAAUAAACCGCAAAAAAAUAGUCGCAAACGACGAAAACUACGCACUCGCAGCUUAAUAACCUGCGCUGAGCCCUUCUCCCCUAGCUUGCCUGUGUCCUAGGGAAAUGGAAGGUCAUCCUUCACAGGAUCGUGUGGAAGUCCUGCUCGGGGCGGAAGCAUUAAAACCAAUCGAGCUAGUCAAUGCGUGGCGUGUCUCUCCGCAGCGUGUUGGCGAAUGUAAAGAGUGACUAAG
Molecule: transfer-messenger RNA, 300 nt
Filed under: Aeromonas sp.
Lineage: Bacteria; Pseudomonadati; Pseudomonadota; Gammaproteobacteria; Aeromonadales; Aeromonadaceae
Description: partial transfer-messenger RNA
Rfam family: transfer-messenger RNA
About the family: Bacterial tmRNA, also known as 10Sa RNA or SsrA, is named for its dual tRNA and mRNA-like properties. Its role is to liberate the mRNA from a stalled ribosome.
Source: RNAcentral